UGGGAAUUGGACAAUGGGCGAAAGCCUGAUCCAGCAAUGCCGCGUGUGUGAAGAAGGCCUUCGGGUUGUAAAGCACUUUUGUCCGGAAAGAAAUCCUUGGCUCUAAUACAGUCGGGGGAUGACGGUACCGGAAGAAUAAGCACCGGCUAACUACGUGCCAGCAGCCGCGGUAAUACGUAGGGUGCAAGCGUUAAUCGGAAUUACUGGGCGUAAAGCGUGCGCAGGCGGUUUGCUAAGACCGAUGUGAAAUCCCCGGGCUCAACCUGGGAACUGCAUUGGUGACUGGCAGGCUAGAGUAUGGCAGAGGGGGGUAGAAUUCCACGUGUAGCAGUGAAAAUGCGUAGAGAUGUGGAGGAAUACCGAUGGCGAAGGCAGCCCCCUGGGCCAAAUACUGACGCUCAUGCACGAAAAGCGUGGGGGAGCAAAACAGGAUUAGAUACCCUGGUAGUCCACGCCCUAAAACGAUGUCAACUAGUUGUUGGGGGAUUCAUUUCCUUAGUAACGUAGCUAACGCGUGAAGUUGACCGCCU
This 530-nucleotide ribosomal RNA is filed under the name uncultured bacterium. RNAcentral describes it as "partial 16S ribosomal RNA". It matches the Rfam family "Bacterial small subunit ribosomal RNA", at positions 356 to 874 of the family's 1533-position model. The record is from RNAcentral.